UUCGCCCUUAGAGUUUGAUCCUGGCUCAGGACGAACGCUGGCGGCGUGCUUAACACAUGCAAGUCGAACGGAAAGGCCCUGCUUUUGUGGGGUGCUCGAGUGGCGAACGGGUGAGUAACACGUGAGUAACCUGCCCUUGACUUUGGGAUAACUUCAGGAAACUGGGGCUAAUACCGGAUAGGAGCUCCUGCUGCAUGGUGGGGGUUGGAAAGUUUCGGCGGUUGGGGAUGGACUCGCGGCUUAUCAGCUUGUUGGUGGGGUAGUGGCUUACCAAGGCUUUGACGGGUAGCCGGCCUGAGAGGGUGACCGGCCACAUUGGGACUGAGAUACGGCCCAGACUCCUACGGGAGGCAGCAGUGGGGAAUAUUGCACAAUGGGCGGAAGCCUGAUGCAGCAACGCCGCGUGCGGGAUGACGGCCUUCGGGUUGUAAACCGCUUUCGCCUGUGACGAAGCGUGAGUGACGGUAAUGGGUAAAGAAGCACCGGCUAACUACGUGCCAGCAGCCGCGGUGAUACGUAGGGUGCGAGCGUUGUCCGGAUUUAUUGGGCGUAAAGGGCUCGUAGGUGGUUGAUCGCGUCGGAAGUGUAAUCUUGGGGCUUAACCCUGAGCGUGCUUUCGAUACGGGUUGACUUGAGGAAGGUAGGGGAGAAUGGAAUUCCUGGUGGAGCGGUGGAAUGCGCCUGACGCUGAGGAGCGAAAGCGUGGGGAGCGAACAGGCUUAGAUACCCUGGUAGUCCACGCUGUAAACGGUGGGUACUAGGUGUGGGGUCCAUUCCACGGGUUCCGUGCCGUAGCUAACGCUUUAAGUACCCCGCCUGGGGAGUACGGCCGCAAGGCUAAAACUCAAAGGAAUUGACGGGGCCCCGCACAAGCGGCGGAGCAUGCGGAUUAAUUCGAUGCAACGCGUAGAACCUUACCUGGGUUUGACAUGGAUCGGGAGUGCUCAGAGAUGGGUGUGCCUCUUUUGGGGUCGGUUCACAGGUGGUGCAUGGCUGUCGUCAGCUCGUGUCGUGAGAUGUUGGGUUAAGUCCCGCAACGAGCGCAACCCUUGUUCACUGUUGCCAGCACGUUAUGGUGGGGACUCAGUGGAGACCGCCGGGGUCAACUCGGAGGAAGGUGGGGAUGACGUCAAGUCAUCAUGCCCCUUAUGUCCAGGGCUUCACGCAUGCUACAAUGGCUGGUACAGAGAGUGGCGAGCCUGUGAGGGUGAGCGAAUCUCGGAAAGCCGGUCUCAGUUCGGAUUGGGGUCUGCAACUCGACCUCAUGAAGUCGGAGUCGCUAGUAAUCGCAGAUCAGCAACGCUGCGGUGAAUACGUUCCCGGGGCUUGUACACACCGCCCGUCAAGUCAUGAAAGUUGGUAACACCCGAAGCCGGUGGCCUAACCGUUGUGGGGGAGCCGUCGAAGGUGGGACUGGUGAUUAGGACUAAGUCGUAACAAGGUAACC
This 1447-nucleotide ribosomal RNA is filed under the name uncultured bacterium. RNAcentral's name for it is "bacterial SSU rRNA". It matches the Rfam family "Bacterial small subunit ribosomal RNA". The record is from RNAcentral.